Molecule: long non-coding RNA, 932 nt
Organism: Dioscorea cayenensis subsp. rotundata (Guinea yam)
Lineage: Eukaryota; Viridiplantae; Streptophyta; Magnoliopsida; Dioscoreales; Dioscoreaceae
Exons: 4
Source: RefSeq, a predicted model, not a curated record
UGCUUGAUAAGCUUGCUUCUCUUCUUCAUUUUGCCUCUCUUCAAUCGAUCCCUCGAAGUACCCCGCCGCCGUGCCGCCGCCGCCACCGCCGCGCAUCUCCCUCUCCUUGCUUAUCUCCGGCGUGUUCUUCUUUGUCGGCGCCAUCUGGAUCGUCUUCGCCAUUGUCAUGCUCCUUCGCCCCCCGAGGACACGCUUAGGAACUUUCGGUCAAGAUCUAGCGUUGGUGGCGGUGCUGGGUUGGAGGAUCGGCCGAAGCUGCUGGGUUUCGUCGGGGUGCAGACGGGGUUUGGAUUGAAAACCUAAUUAGAUACCAGUUUCUCUGAGCUUAAAUGGCAUUUUUGCCCCCAACCUAAUUAGAUCCGGAGGUGUGGUUGGUGGAGGAUUUGGACUGAUUUUGAAGCACAGGAGGGUGCAUGCUGCAUCUUUAGCUGCCAAUUUGGCAAUUGUUGCUGGUUGCUAUUGCGAUCAGUGCUCAAGCAACCACUUCUUCAUUGGCUCUGUUUUUGGAAUUUAAAGGGAGGAACGUGAAGGCAGUUGGAGAGAAGGUCAGGAAGUGCUAAGAUGAGAUUUGCGUCAAACUCUUAGUCAAGUCCAAGAUCAUGAGGAGAGGCUUCAACAAACACUUGACCAAGUCCAAGAUCGUGAGGAGAGGCUUCAACAGACGCUUGGUCAAGUACAAAAUAAUAACAAGGAGCUUCAACAAAGUUUGCUUGAAAUGAAAGUAGAGAGGGACCAAUAUCGUGCGGAGAUGAUGCUUCAAAUGAAGGACAUGAUGAUGAGUUUUGAGAGGAGGAUUCUUCAGCAGUCGCAGUUUACCACACAGGGCUCACAACCAGUUACCGACGAUCAUGAUGUUGGCUUAUAGUUGUAUUUGUCGUAUACUUAUUAUUUUGUGUUGAACAUAUAUACUUAAAUAUUUCUUUUUGUAUGAA